GGGUCAGCAGGUUGGUCGUGCCACCGGUACGUACUGGUCUCACUGAUUCCUCCUUCCUGAGGAACCGUAAUGCCAUUAAUUUGGUGUUGCGGGGAAACAGGACUGUUACUUUGAAAAAAUUAGAGUGUUUAAAGCAAGCUAACGCUUGAAUACAUUAGCAUGGAAUAAUGAAAUAGGACGAUCGAUCCUAUUUUGUUGGUUUCUAGGAUUGACGUA
This 216-nucleotide ribosomal RNA is filed under the name Glomeromycotina sp. Its description in RNAcentral is "partial small subunit ribosomal RNA". The stretch from base 40 to 216 matches the Rfam family "Eukaryotic small subunit ribosomal RNA", at positions 686 to 864 of the family's 1831-position model. Lineage: Eukaryota; Fungi; Glomeromycota. The record is from RNAcentral.